RNAcentral lists this long non-coding RNA (200 nucleotides) under Vigna radiata. RNAcentral describes it as "long non-coding RNA (VRAD_LNC015727)". The record is from RNAcentral. Lineage: Eukaryota; Viridiplantae; Streptophyta; Magnoliopsida; Fabales; Fabaceae.
AGCUAGCAUUACAGAUAAGUGGAAUGAGGUAAUAAUCAGGCUUACUUUGAAAACAUCAAAAAAUCAAUUAAUUCUUUUGAACAUAUAUCAAACCAUAAUCAAUAUUUCUUAAUUGUGCAGAACUUCAACAAUUCAUCUGCUAUAACCGAAGGCAUGAUAAGGCAGAUAAGGCACGAGUGCGCAACUUAUCUUAUCCAAAA